GGGAAACUUCUAGAGGGUAUUUAAACCCCAGAACACUCUAUAACAAGGCUUUUUAGCCGUUUGCUUAGGCUUGUUUCAUAGCCUGUGAAGUGUGCUUUCGUUUUCAAUAAAUCUCUGCUUUCGUUGUUUAAUUCGUUCCUUGCUUUGUUUAUGCGUUUUGACCAAUUCUUUGUUCAAAACACCAAGAACCUGGACACCCUCCACCAGUAAUAGAAGUUAAAGGGAACCGUUAACUUUGAAAAGUCAAAUGCCAUUUCCAAGGGGCUCAAAAUUGAUUUUCCAUGUUGUCAUUUACUGGAGCUUUACUGAAGAGGAUCUGGUCAGUGUGAUAAGUCUCAGCUUCGGUGCCACCUCUUCCGAGAAGCCCUCCGUGACCACCUCCACUGUUCCCACCACUCACCCUGUUGAUUUCCUCCACGGAACAAAGGAAGAGUCUCGGAAGGUUCCACUGCUGUGUUUGACAGAGUGAUUUGAUGACGGAUUCAUCAGACACAGGAGAAUAGAGGAGGCUGGGAGACCAGGUAAGAUGCUGCUCUACUUCUCCCGGUUCCAGCAAGGGAGAGCUUGAGCUAGGGAGGGUGAUGAUGGCCAGACUGCCAGACAAAUGAGCACCCCCACCCAGGACCAGAUGCCUGUUGUCUCAUUGUGGCUGAUGGGAUUGCUUUCUUCAACAUCACCAUCACGCCUUACAGGGAGAUGAGGGACGUGCCAGGAGGCUCCCCAUUCUAUUGGGUCCCCCAUCUCCAAUUUGCAUCAAAGGUUCUUCAUCAAGUUCUAUUCAAGAUUUUUUUAGUGAUGUUCUGCUAAAACUAUUUCAGUUGGAAAUCAUUGGCAGAAAGCCAUAGUCCCCCUUUCAUUUCCA
This is a long non-coding RNA of Macaca mulatta (Rhesus monkey), 862 nucleotides long. RefSeq lists it as uncharacterized. The record is from RefSeq and is a predicted model, not a curated record. Lineage: Eukaryota; Metazoa; Chordata; Mammalia; Primates; Cercopithecidae.